GUGCCAGCAGCCGCGGUAAUACGGAGGAUGCAAGCGUUAUCCGGAUUUAUUGGGUUUAAAGGGUGCGUAGGCGGAUGCUAAGCGUGAGGUGAAAUCCCCGGGCUCAACCUGGGAACUGCCUCGCGAACUGGGUAUCUGGAAUGCCCCUGCCGUGGGAGGAAUGUGUGGUGUAGCGGUGAAAUGCAUAGAGAUCACACAGAACACCGAUUGCGAAGGCAUCUCACGAAGGGGUGAUUGACGCUGAGGCACGAAAGCGUGGGGAUCAAACAGGAUUAGAUACCCUGGUAGUCCACGCAGUAAACGAUGAUAACUAACCGCUGGGUAUUCGUAUUCAGUGGCCAAGCGAAAGCGAUAAGUUAUCCACCUGGGGAGUACGACCGCAAGGUUGAAACUCAAAGGAAUUGACGGGGGCCCGCACAAGCGGAGGAACAUGUGGUUUAAUUCGAUGAUACGCGAGGAACCUUACCCGGGCUCGAACGGCAGAGGAACAAUCCAGAGAUGGUGCGGCCCUUCGGGGCUUCUGUCGAGGUGCUGCAUGGUUGUCGUCAGCUCGUGCCGUGAGGUGUCGGCUCAAGUGCCAUAACGAGCGCAACCCUUGUCGUCAGUUACCAUCAAGUGAAGUUGGGGACUCUGGCGAGACUGCCACCGCAAGGUGAGAGGAAGGGGGGGAUGACGUCAAAUCAGCACGGCCCUUACGUCCGGGGCGACACACGUGUUACAAUGGGGGUUACAGAGGGGCACUACCUGGUGACAGGAUGGGAAUCUCGAAAAGCCCUCUCAGUCCGGAUCGGAGUCUGCAACUCGACUCCGUGAAGCUGGAUUCGCUAGUAAUCGCGCAUCAGCCAUGGCGCGGUGAAUACGUUCCCGGGCCUUGUACACACCGCCCGU
Molecule: ribosomal RNA, 888 nt
Filed under: uncultured rumen bacterium
Lineage: Bacteria
Description: bacterial SSU rRNA
Rfam family: Bacterial small subunit ribosomal RNA
Source: RNAcentral